CUUUCCCGCCCCACCCCCGACUUUCGGUUUCCGGCUCCUCCGCUCCGAGAAGUCCCCUCAGACAGCGGCGGCUGCGCGUCCGCCUGCGACCCCGCCAGCGACCCCGCCGCUGCCCCCGACUCCAGCCGGACCCCGCGCCGGGCCCGCCCCGACCCGGACCCGCGCUGCCUCACCCAACGGUCUCUGAGCGCCCGGAACUCGGCGCCCGCGCGGCCGCCGCCCCCGCCGCUGUCGGCCCGCCCCACCCCAAACCCUCCUGAUGGACUGACGCGCGAGCCUACCACGAACGCGAAAGGAGCCGCGGAGAGCGCCUAUUGGUCGGAAUCGUCUGCUGUGGGCCCGCCUCCUGACGGAUUGACACGAGGGCCUACCAAGAGCGUUCUGGGAGCCGCAGCAGGCGCCGAUUGGUCGGCGCUGCAGCAGCUUGAUACUUAAGUUUGCUCUCGCAGGUUGCAAGCGGUCGCGGAGUCCCAGUGUGCUAAAUCUGCUGUGAGGUCCGGACUACGAGGGCCAGCCUAAGGCUCUCUCGCUCCAUACUCCCAUCCCCACGAAGGCUCGAAUCGCCGGAACAGAGGCAUAGUCUCUUUUGGGGAUAGUGAGACAUCUAGAACUAACUGGAUUGUCCACUGCAAAAGAUUUAAAUGGUCCUUUCUUAUGUUGUGUGAAAUUUACCACCAAAGAAAAGCGUCUCCUCUGCCUUUUUGACACAUGGAAAUGUGGAACAAGCAAAUAGGAACAUCUAGAAGGCGGCAUCGCUGGGAGGGCUGACUCCGUCAUCUCCAUAAGGGGUCAGCCAGCAUUGGACAGGAUAGCGCGUGGGCUUUGCCAAAAAAUGAGCAGACACUCUCGUGUUCCGUGAGUUUCCGCGGCUCUCUCCCUGGGCUGGAAAGGAAGAAGGUUCAGAGGCCUGUGUACAGAGUUGAGACUUACAAGACUCAAGAGGUGCUCUGAUGGGAAGUGGCCACUGGCUCAGCUCAGAAAAAGGUGACUCACUCUGGGGAUUACCACACAGGUUCCUUCCUGCCAAAAGAAAGCAAAAGUCGAGACCUGGGUUGUGGCUUAGUGGCAGGACGCUCGCCUAGCAUGUGUGAAGCCCUAGGUUCAAUCAUCAGCACCACAUAAAAAUAAAUAAGUGAAAUAAAGGUAUUGUGUCCAACUACAACUAAAAAGUAAAUAUUUAAAAAAGAAAGCAAGAAAGCAAAAGUCAUCCCACCAGGGCAGCCCCUGAGGGCAAGGCAGGGCAAGUUCCCCUGGGCAGACUCAAGAGGGGCCCCAGCAUCUCCCAAGCCCUGAGAACCAGCAGUUACAUUCCCGUAGCUUCAGGGUCUGGGGUGCUCAUGAGGUGGCCACUGUCCUGGGCCUCAGUAUCCUGACCUGAGAGUGCUGGAGCCCCUGCAGAAAGUGUGAGGCUCACCAUGGACAGGGCUAGAUGCAGUGGACACCAGCUCCUGUGACUUGGCCACAGAGGGGAGGCCCCAGCAGCUGCCCAUUAGACCUACAGAGCACUGAAGGGGACAACUGCCAGUGGCCCCCACUCUACCUGAAGGUCCUCAAGGAAAGCAGCUGCCCCUUGGCAGUCCAACCACUGACGUCUCUCUCUCUCUGCUGCUGCGGCUUCUGCUUUUCAUUUCAUGUCCAGUAGGGCACUGUGGACACUUCUGAACACAACUGAGCACUCACCUUUCCCAGACAGGGCCGCUGUCCUUGAGGCCCAUGCCUCACGUCCUUUACUCCCUCGGGCCUUUGGGGUGACAGCCAACUUGCAUGUGGGAGCAGGAGGCACAAAGGCUAUACACAGGAUGCCCCUCAUGUAACUGGUGCUGCUCCCAGGGGGGGAGUCACCUCACAGAGGCCACAGUCCCUUGCUUACCCUAAAAGUGGCUCUUUUUCCUCAGUCAUUUGAAAGUUGCCUUGUGCUGCCACUCCUGAAAGACACCAGCUGCCCUGUCUGCCACUCUCUGAUAGGCGCGCUCCUGGAAAGGCCAAAACAGCUCUAAGCCAGGGUCCCCCACACAAGCACACCGUGGGGGCUUUUCCCUAGCUCAGUGCCCAGCCUACAGCCAGCUGGAGGUGCAGCAUCUCCUGGAGGCCCUGUAGGGUGUUGGGGGGGACCCUAGUGAAGGGAAAGAGAAUGACAAACUUCCUGUGGCAUUGCUCUGGGGCCAGCAGGUGGGCUGCCUCCUGGGUGCAGGGAUGGGGCAGGUCUCACCCCCAGGUAGUGGCUCAAAUGUCUAAAGGGUCAGUUCAGGACCACCCCUCAGGAGACCAUGUAUGAGGGUGAGCUCCUGAGGCAACAUGGGCAUCAGUAGGAAUGGUACGGCAGGCAGCCACCUGCUCAGGUCCCAUUCUGAACAAGCCUUCUUAUGCUUCCCAUGCGUCCACGUCAGAAUGUUUCUGGUCAGGCACAGUAGUCACACCUAUGAUCCAGGGACUCCAGAGGCUCAAAAUUCCAGCCAAGCUCAGCAAGACUGUCUCAAAAUAAAGAGGACUUGGGGUGCAGUGUGGUGGAAAGGUUCCCUGGGUUCACUCCUCAGUGGCCCCAAAGUUUCUGCUUUAAGCAACACAGGUCACUUGGGGAUGUCUGGAAACUACAGAAAGGACCAAGAAGAAAGUAAAGAAGACUCCCCAGUUCCCUUAUCCACGACGACACCUGAGGUGAAGACCUGCUUCAGUGUGACCCUCAGCCAGCCUCAGAGCCACCUCACACCAGAGCCAAAGGCCCAGCCUGGCCAGGCCUCUACAGCAGCAGCCCCUCACCUGGCACCCCUCCUUCCCUGCUUGGCAUAUCCUGGGCCUUUUUUGGAUUUUUUUGUUGUUGUUUUAUUGAUUUUAUUUUUUUAAAUACACAACAGCAGAAUGCAUUACAAUUCUUAUUAUACAUAUAGAGUACAGUUUUUCAUAUCUUUGUAUAAAGUAUGUUCACGCCAAUUCAUGCCUUUAUACAUGUACUUUGGUGUCUUUUUUUUUACAUUUCAAUUCUUAUUACACAUAUAUACCACAA
Molecule: long non-coding RNA, 3001 nt
Organism: Marmota monax (woodchuck)
Lineage: Eukaryota; Metazoa; Chordata; Mammalia; Rodentia; Sciuridae
Exons: 2
Source: RefSeq, a predicted model, not a curated record